UAGAAAUUGUAGACUCAAAUGACUGCAGAAGUAACCCAGUGGGGCAGGUCAGAGACAUCGGGGGCCUGACAAGCUGGAGAGAACUUACGCUUCAUUUAAAGGGGAAAGCUGCAAGUUAUCAUGAGAAUAUAGGUUCGGUGUUGUCAGAUUUUCUGAUUCCUUGUGAGAAAACAGAAAACUGGAUUGUAAAAUUUAAAUGAAAUUUCUGGUAUGUAAAUGUUAGCAUGUGACUGUGGUCAGGCCUGCUGGGCUAUGCAGCUUGAAUAGACCUUGAAAUGACGUGGAGUCAUCAGUAGUGAUGUGUAUACUACUUCCCACCUUCCACCCCAACUCCCCAUCUGCCCUGACCCCUCCUGACAUGGAAUGAAAAGCAGUCUGGGGCAGUCUGGUCUUCCAACCCUAAUGCUGUGAGGGACAGAGUGCACUUCCAGGGAGUUGUGGUUACUUGCAUCCUCAGUCUGGUAUAGUUCCUGUGUACUUCUCUGGCUGACUAGACAGUCAGCCAAAGGGAAUGGAGGCCAAGUCCAUGUCAUCAGUCUCGCCAGCCUUGUAAUCUGGAUCAGUCUUUGCUCUUUGGCUUAGCUGAGCCAGGAAUUUUGUGUGCCAAACAAAACUUGUCUGCAGGCCAGUUUGCUACCUCUGGACCAUGUAAAUUUCACUGGUCCAGCAAACACUUAGUAAGUACUUACAAUGUACUAGGCACUGGGCCAUACCCUGGGGACACAAAGGUGAUUAGAAGUCAGCCUUCCCACUGGUAGCUCCCUCUGUCUGGUGUAACAAAUUUUUGUCAUACCACCAGACAAACACUUAGAUAGAGCCCCCUAAGAUGGCUAGUGGGGUGGAAUAAAUGAGAGAAGAGUUUCUUGAGGAGAUGAUGUUGAGCUUAGUUUGAAGGAUGGGUAGGAACAGUGGGGCAGAGGAACUAGAGUGGAGGGUAUACUAUAGAAACAGCAGAAGUGGAAAGUAGAGGGCAUGGGUGGGUGUCAUUCCAGGCACAAAGAAAAGCUCAGGCAAGUCAUGGAGGUGAGAGAGAGCAUGAAGCAGAACUGCUAGUUGGAGGCAGUAUGGAAAGGGGGUGAGUGGUGGGGAAUAAGGCUGGAGACAGGAACCUUGUGGUCAAAUCCUCAAAUACCUCAACAGACGUGCUGCAUAUGCAAAUAGAACAUGUUCAGUACCUUCAGACAUCCUACAUCUAGAGGCAGAAAAUGGCCGUCUAAAUAUAUAAAUGCAGUAAAAGCAUGCUUCUAAAAUGAUGGCAGGCACUAAGGUAUUUUAUGGAGUGGAGGAAUAAGAGCAGCUCUCCCUGGCAGCCAAAUAGGGGAUGAAUUAUGGGAGAAUUGAGAUUGGAAGUGGGGAAUUGAUUAGGAAGCCAUUGUAGGAAUUAAGCAGAUAAAUGAUGAGAGUGGAAUCAAGGCAGUGGAAAGAGGAAUGGAGAGAAAUGAUUAGAAUAAAGAAAUAUUUAUAAGGUUGACUUUGUAGGACCUGGUGAUAAUGGUGAAGAUAGGGCAUGGAACACAUGGGUGAGGAAGAACGAGUCACUGAAGAAAGCUCCCAGGUUCUUGCAUCCACUGAGCAGAAAAUUUAGAAAAGAGAUCAGGUUUGGAGAGUGUAGCAGAUGCUUUGGGGUGUUCCAUGUCACACCCCUCUAAGGUAAGGACAAGUUAUUACCCUUUGUAUAUACCACUAUUAUAAAGGAAACGUAGCCCUUGGUUUGUAUUUAGUGAGCAGUACAUGUGGAAAUACUGUUCUAGCCCAUUCAUUGGGUGACUUGGAGCAAGAGAUGGCUCUGCAGCAGGCCCAGGCUACAAUGCAAGCUGCCGUGCCACUUGGGUCAUAUGACCCAGCAAAUGCAGUGAUGCUAGGUAUUCAGGGUGGAUAAGGAAUCAGUGUGGAGUCUCCAGCAAGCCCUAAUAGAAGAGGUGUAGCAUGGAUCUUUGGAGUUCUGGAGCAAGGUUAUGCCUUCUGCAGCAGAGAAAUAGUCACCAUUUGAAAAGCAGCUCCCAGUUUGCUUUUAGUCCUGGUAGAGACAGAGCAUUUGACAUUGGCCAGGGCACCAAAGCUGCCCAUCAUGAGCUGGACCACUUAAGUCUUAAGGUCAGGCAGGCCCAGUAGCAAUCCAUUGUAAGAUGGAAGUGGUACAUUUAGAAUUGGGCUUGAGCAGAGCCAGAGGGCACAAGCAAGCUACAAGAAUAGAAUAGCUGCACAUGCCUCCUUCCCCAGACUUCCAAGUCACUUACCCCCAUUGCAUGGAUGAUUUCUCCCUUUGCUAACAUCAACGGUUUUCUUGUGGCCAGCUGAUAGAGGAAGAAACAUCCUAGGCCUAUUUCUUUGGGUUGGUGUUAGCUAAAAGCAGACUGCUGAUUUCACUACAGCCCUAGUCAGGGUAGCCCUGGAAGACAGUGGUUAGGGGAAUGCUCCCAGUAGGUGAACUUCCAGCAGGGCAUCUGCAAUCAACUUGGUGUAGAGGGAGAAGUGGCUUGAGAUAGGGAUGCAUAUGGAAUCUUGGGCAGUGGCAAAUUGGUUGGUUGGUUGGUUGGUUGGUUGGUUAAUUGGUCAGGGGCCUGGAAGGAAAAACACAAGAGUGGGCACAAAGUGUGUGCCUCUUAGUGUUUCACAUUAAUGUCUCCCAGAAAGCAUCCACCACAGAGGAGGCACUCAGCACUCAGGUAGACAACAUGCCUUAUCCAAUGGUCAGCCUUGCUCCUCAGCCAUCUCACAGCUAGCACAGGGAGCCCAUGACUUGAGUGGCCAUGAUAACAGGGAUGGAGGCUACUCAUGGGUCUAACAGCAUGGAUUCCCUGUUGCCACAGCUGCUCCAUCAGCACAGAGGCAGUUUCUGAGCCCUUGACCAGUCAGCUGCUAGAGGCAAGUUGAUGACAUCAGGGACCUUCUAGUGUUAAUCCAAGGGUUUACAAAGUGCCUGGUUGAUCUACAUGUGAUCCUGUAAUGUAUCACCUCAGACAAAGAGGCCCUUUUUAUGGUAAAGGAAGUGUGGCAGUGGUUGUAGACCAUAGGACCCACUGGUCUGGUAUGUACCAAAUUGCUGGAAGCAGUGGACCUGGUAGAAUGACUGAAUGGCUUAUUGAAAGUGGCAGCUCAAGGAUAAUGUGUUGUAAUCCAGGAUUCUGUCAUCCAGAGUACAGCUGAUAUGCAAUGCUGUGUCCUCAACUACUGGAAUAUACAGGUCCAGGAAUGAAAAGUGGAUGUAGGAUUGGUCCCUCUCACCAUCAUGCUGUGUGAUCCACUUGCAGCAGGUGGAAGGAUGUCUGCAACUCAGGAGAUUCACUCAAGAGUAUGUCUGGAACUUAGGAGACUGUCCUCUUGGGGGCUUCCACUAUUGUUGAUAUCAGAGAAUGGACCUUGCAGUAACCAUGGCCUAAGAAGGCCAAGUCAAUUGAGGUAUCAGACCACUUAGGGAUGUAGGUCUGGGUCACUUCAUCAAGUAAGCAACCUGGACCAGCUGAGUGCUAGUUAACAAUGAGGAAAACCUAGAGUAGGUGGUGGAGGAGGAAGAUAAUACACAGCAAUUUCAGACUCCAGACCUGCUGUAGCAGUGAGUGGGAUUAUAGUUUGUUCCACUAACUCCUCUACAAAGUAGUUUUGCUAGAAUAUUGCUGGCCACUGCGUUGAAGACUCAGUGACAGAAUGGACUUAAUCUGGGGUAUGAGUGGAUCCGAAUGGUUUAGAGAGUAGAAUGGAGCAGACCACUUUGGGUGCCCUGCACCACCUCUCCCCCUUCGUCAGCCUUUGAUUUCAGCUGUGGUAGACAGUUCUGUGUGAGCUUGGACUGAUGCUGACAGCAUCCCAAUUCAAGCACAAAUGAUGUGUCAUUCUGAUUUCUAUUCUGGGGCCUCCUCCAAAGCCACAGGAGUCUCUUUGGCCUGUGUGGUUCAAGCACAGCCCAGAAGUUAGGGAAGUUAAUGGCCCUGGGAUGACCCUCAGCAAGGAAGGAGGGGAGCCAGUGGAUAAAUGCACAAGCAUUGCAUCCUUUUAUUGAACAAUUCUGGGAGGCAUUCUGUAUGCUUCAGGAGAUCCCAAAGAUAAUUGAGCCCCCAUUGCACCCUUAGAUUGAUGAUGCACCCUUAGAUUGGCUUUUCUCCCUCACUUUCUCACUCUCUCCAAUUCAUUACUCCUCAUCUUCUGAGAUCACCUCGCAAUUAAACCACCCUCACCUAACUCCUUCUCAGGCUCUGCUUCUGGGAGAAUACAAACUAAGAUAUGGAAGAAGAGGCCAAGUUCAGUGUUAGCUUGACAUGCUGAAGUGUAUCUAGUGGAAAUGGGUAGCAGAUUGUGGCUGCAUGAAUUUGAGAAGUGUUGGUUUAUAUAUUAGCAUAUGGUGACAGAUAAAACCACAGGCACAAGUGAAAUAGCCCAGAGAAAACUCAUUGUUAAGGGGCCAGUGGAUGAAUGGCACCCAGUUCUAAGGCAGUAGUUUCAACCAGGGGUGAUUUUGCCCAUCCAGGGGACAUUUGACAUGCCUGAGGACAUUUUUCCUUGUCAAUUGAAACUCUUCUUCUCUGUGAAAUGCUCUGUGGAAAUCCAAAGUUCUCUCCGAGAUGUCUGUGGACUCCAGGAGUGUAGGUUCUUGAGAUCACCUCUGUCUCCUGGUUCCUGUAUCUGUAUGUGUUCCCUUUAUUCUGCCAUAGACUUAAACUUAGAUAUGAAACACUUCCCCUUCCUCUCGUUCUACAAUACUGACUCACACCAAGCACUGGAGAAUGUUGGCAGGGUUUGGAAUCUUGUAGUGCCUACCCUUUACCAUUUUGUGAACACCUUGUUCAUCCACUUCCCUUCACUGUCCCUCAUCUAUUUCCCUGCAAAUUACCCUCAUCUGAAAAUCCUUCUCCCUCUAUUUAUUCAGCCCUCCUGAGCUCCCACCCCCAAAUGGACUUAGCCCACACCCUCAUGGUGCACAGCGGAUAAGAAAACCUCGUAUUAACCAGAUUCAUCCUUCAAUAGAAGGUGCUUAUGGUUAAAAUAGUGAAAACGUUUCUGUUAGACUAUAAAUUCGGCUGCUAGAGUUUAGGGACCUCUAAGAUUUAUGCCCAAAACCACUGUAGCUGCUCAGGCUAAGCAAAGAAGGUCCCAGUCUUCAAAGACCGUUGUCUCAUCUUGUAAGGAGUAAGCUCUUCCUGGGACAGUGUAGGAAAAAGUUGAUUGAUAGAGCACAGCUAGUGGUAAAUAAGAGGCCCAGCUGGGAAAAAGGUCCCACCUUGCCCCGUCCCCUUCUCUUGUCUCCAGAGACUGCCUUAGAAGUCAGAAGGCCUGGCUUCUGAAUGUUGCUCCUCUGUUCACCUACCUUGUGAUCUUGGACUAUGGUGGUAUUGUUGUAAGUGAGGUAAUAAGGUAGGAACAAAGAUUUAGUGAAGUAGAAUAUAUGAAUACCUGCAUUGCAGUAGCUAUCUAAUAUGUUUUAGACUCCAAAUUCCCCUCUUUGCUUUUGUAACCAGGAAAAGACUCAGGUCUUAAAUUCAUUUCCAAGUGCUCAGAAUCAUUAGCUAAAUGUUUGGUGGCCCUCAACAACUUCUUCAGUGCUGGUCAGUCAGUCAGGAAACAUGGGUCACUCACCCUCGCUGUACCCAUCCACAGUGGUCUUGGGUGGGGAUACCAGAGGAGAAUCCCUAGUGCCCCUCAAAAGCUUAAGCUCUGCCUGGGGAGAUGAAGUGAUCACAGCCAAGUGUUCCGAUCACAGUAAAGACUGGGUGUAGGGCUGAUGACCAAGGCAGUAUUUAUUUUGGAAAUUAAAAUGAAUCAAUAUUUUAACAUUUUUUGAAUUUUGAUAUUCUCCCAUGAGAAAAGUGGUGCUCCCUACAUACAAAGCCAGGGCAGGGCCCUCUCCCACCAUGCAGCAUUUUAUGGGGCUCCUGAUGCAAUCAUGGCAGUGCCCAGCAGAGGACAACCUAUCUCUGUCUCAUCUGCUUGGACCGGAGAACGUGGCAGACAUGGGUGGAGAUAUUGCAAACUUUUUUGACCACAGCCCACAGUUAGACGUGCGUUUUAUGUCACAACCCAGUAUAGGUUUGCACACAUGUAUAUUUUGCUAAACAAUACUUCCCUUACUACACAUGCACACUGAUCUAUUCCUAGUUUGUUCAGUUCUGUCUGAGUCUCAGUCAUUAAAAAAUGCUGCUCAUAACCCACUUGGCUGUUCUCACAACCUACCAAUAGAUGGAGGCCUGCACUCUGAAACCCACCAGGAGUCUAGGCUGGGGGGAGUGGGGGCAGCAGCCGAGAAUGUGGUACCUCCUCACACUCACCGAACCUCCCAGCCUGACUUCUUAAAAUAAACUCAGGAAGGAGUCCUUUAUUUGUUGACAGCAAAGCAGCAAAGGCCCCAGUACUUGUAGGAGAGGAUUUCUUCUUUGUGGGCCGUGCUGCCCAGCGGUUAAAAGUGCAGGCUCUGGGGCCUCAGGGCUGCCUACGUGGAGUCCUCCUCUGCCUCGCCCCAUUGGUGGCCUGGGCAAGCUACCCCACCCCUUUGUGCCUUGGUUUCCUCAUCUAUAAAAUGGGGAUGAUAAGAGCACCUACCUUGUGGGGCUGCUGUGAGACUAGGUGAGGUGGUUAGGACUGUGGCUGGCCCGUGGGAGGCGCUUGGUUAAAGGCCCCUCUAUUGAUAGCAACAGCUCUUUUUUCACUGAGAAACAAGGACUGCUGGAGAGUGCCAGUCACCAGGCAAAGCCUGCCUAGGUCAUUCAUUGAUUCACUGACCGAACAUGUGUUGAUGCCUGUUACCAAAGAUAGAUAAGCAGAGAGCUCAGCUCAGUUGAGCACACAGGCAAUUACAGUAAGCGCAGUAAGGGCUUAGAUCGUGAUCAGUUCUGAGUGCUCGGGGAGCUCACCAGCACCUGGGAGGACUCCUUAGCCCAGUGGCUCUCAGAAUGUGGUGCACAGACCAGCAGCUGUAGCACCUGGGAACUUGUUAGACAUGCAGAUUCUAAGGCCUUAAGCUAGAGGUGCAGAAUCAGACAUCCUGGGAGUGGGCCCAGCAAUCUAUGUGAUUCUGAUGCACACUCAAGUUUGAGAAUUAUUUGCCAAAGGUUACCAAAUUUCACUGCACUUUAGGGUCCUCUGGGACACUUUGGUCCAGGUUGCUCCCCAUACCAAUUUAAUCUCAGUGUGUGAGAGUGGGAGUCAGGCAUCAAAUUUUCUAAAGAUUCCAGGUAAUUCCAAUGUGUAGCAAAGAAAGCAACCACUGCCCUAACCCAACCCCAGGGGCCAGGGGUGCCAGGGAAAGCGGGAUCAGGGAAUUGGAGGAAGAGGGGAUGUUGUGUGAACAGAAACCUCCAACACAUUCAGGCUUGCAAGUAAACAUGGGUUGGAGGAGUGAAGGGGGCUGCUGGUGCUGGUAGAGAAUUCCAAAGGCUGUCAUCUAGUGUUUAAGGAUCUGGUCCCUAAAGACAAACCACCUAGGUGUGAAUCCUGCUCCACCAUUUACCAGCUGUGUGACCAUGGGCAGGUCAUUUAACCUCUACACCCUGGCUUCCUCAUCUACAUGGGAUUCCCAUGAGGAUUUGGCACAUAUAAGAAACGUUACUUACUCCUGUUGGGAUGGGAGUUAGAAUCAUAAGUUGAGCUAAAGGCCCAGAGCUGAGUCAGAAUAUGACAGGAGCAUAGUGUGGCAAGAGCUACCAUGGGAGACAUGGGUGGGCCAAAGCCAUGGGAGGCUUUAGCAUCAUGCCCUGGACCUGGAAGCAUUAAGAAGCCACUGGAGGGUCUGAGGCACCAGGAGCCAUGCUGAGACAGGCCUGAGAAUGUGCUAGAAAGUGGCAAGGCUGGGGGAGAGUGAUCAGUGAGGAGUGCAUUGCCAUGAUGUGCUAUGUGACAACAACCUACCUGCAGAGAGGAGGAUUGAAGAGUUAAGAUGGCAAAAUAGGCAGGCCCUUGGGGAUGAAUUGUACUGGAGGGUGGGAGAAGAGAAAGUGUCUCCAUCUCUGGGCUGCAUGAAUUGGGCAGUCUCGGUCCCAGCACCUGGUUUUCUCUGUUCUAUAGACAGAGGUCCCAUCUUAGGCAUGGUUGGGGUGGAAUGAUUUGAAUAUUGGAGUCACUCUUUGGCUGAAGGCAGUGAAGGCCCUUCCAGGCUUCCUUGACCACAGCGAUUGCCCUGGAAAUCGGACAGCAGCCACCUACCUGCCUCUCAAUAUUGUCCAUCCCCGCAUCUGUAGCAACUGAAAUACAAGCUUCUCAAGGCUGGAAAGGGUCUCCCACACCCCACCCCCUACCUCCCAGAAUGCCUGGCACAGUGUUUUGCUGAGCAGAUGUGGAGGUGAGGCCCCCUGAUUGGGUCAGGAGGAAAACACAGAAUUCAGUUACCAGCCAGGAAGGCCUUGUUGAGAAUUAGAUUAUCAGAAUUGUCAUCUGGGGCCUCAGUCCCCACGGGGCUCAGUGGGGGAGAACAGAGUGUGGACGCCUCACAAGGUUGCCCUUCUGGGUCUCGGGGUUGGGUAUAUCCCUCCGGGUUCUGAGAUGUGGCCCUUCCCACACUGCAGGGAGGAGUGGAGAGAAGAGCUGAGCCGUGCCUUCUGUGGCAGCUUUUCCUGGCACCUGAAAGCUGAAAGUGGAGGUGAAAGGAUGCUUCUGGCACCUGGUGGGCAGCAGAACCAGGCUGAGUGCUCAAGAAAAACCACUUAGCUGCCAAUGUCCUCCUCUCAGUGGGCCCAUGGAGUGUUAGGUGCUGUAUGGGAAGUACCAGAAAUAUUAAGAUGACAGCCCUGGAAACAAAAGGAGAACAGUACAAAAUGAAGGACUGGACUGUGUAAUGCAGAUGCUAAUGCUUGGGAAUUAAGCGACUUUGAGGACCCAGACAGACCCAGGUUUGGGAUGGUGACUGCCAUUCACUGGCUGAGGGAUGUUGAGCAAUGAGGAAACCUGAACCUCUCUGAGUCUCAGUCUCCCCAUCUGCUAAAUGGGGAUGAUAAUAACACCUGAUAAUUAAGUGAUUAAAACUUUAAUUAUAUUUUCAAAAGUACGAUACAGCGAUUAAAAUAAUUGAGUGAUACAUGUGAUGGGGUAUGUUUACGCUUAGAAGAGCGCCUGGCACAUGGUGAGCUCCCUAAAUAGUGGUAGCUCUUCCUGUUGCUGCUGUUCUCCUGUGGAUAUGAAUUAUAGGUGUUCGGGAAAAGGCGAAUCCACUGCAUAAUCCUGAAUGGCGAGAUGAGCAGCAAGGACUUGUAGGAUGAGCUAGAGAGGAGAGGAAGGACUGACUAGCCAGAAGGAACAAAAUGUCCUGAUUUUCAAAAGAGAAGACUGUGGUUCCUGGAAUGUAAGCUUAAUGUCACUCAACUGCAUUCUAGAAUGAGUAAAAAGAUGGUCUGGAGCACUUUAUAAAGAGCCAUACUCAUUCCAGAAUUAGUUUACUAGAUCAUAUCAAACCAAACUCCUGAUGACUUCAUUACCAAAGGAUAUAUAUUUUUUUCACUCACUCAACCUAUUUAUUGUUAGCAGUAAAUAUUGUUAGGAAAAAGCAAUGGGUAUCUGGUGAGGUUUCUUUCCCAUGCUGUCCUUGUGGACGGGAGAGAGAAAUGUGAGCAGUGCGAUGCACAGUUAGAUGAGGUCUGUAGCAAUAUAAGCAGUUUCACCCCAAGAGCUGGAUGAAUGGAUCAGGCCAGAGAAAGCUACUCCAGUCGUUGAUGAGCCUGGUGAAGUGACGGGGUGGGUGGGACAACAGAGUACAUGCUUGGCACUUAAGGAUUCAGCUAUUUAAGAACAAAACUUGAUUUGCUAUCAGAACAACAGAGAAAUAACAUUAUCCAUUAAGUGAUUUUUUUCUAAUGUAAUAUAAGCUUGUGGUAGAUAAUUUGGAAAAUAUAGAUCAUAAAGAAACAACUAAAAGACACCUGGAAUUCUGCCUGAAUGUCAUAAUUUAAUAGCAUGACCAAGAAGAGUGAUAGUGAGAAUGGGAAUUUGGGUGAUAUUUAAGAUAGUAAGGGGUUCAAGAUUGUUGACUCUAGAAAAGUGUCUUUGAAGAGUUGAUUGUAGGCUGUUGGAAGAAGAAUGUGUAGGUUAUUCUGUACUGUUCCAGGGGGGCAGAACUGGAAGGAAUCCACAGAGGCUCAGAGAAGUCGAUUUCAACUCACUGAAAAUGGAGGAGCCAUCCAGGAGUAAUUCUGUCCUCCAGUGGAACAGACUGCCUUGGAGGGUGGGAGUUCCAUUCAUUCAAGAAUUCAGGUAGAAGCUGGUUCUUAGUCACUUUCUUUGAAUGUUACAGAAGACUCCCUGCCCUGCUCUGGUCCCUUUCCAACUCUUAAGAUUUCGUGUAUCUAUAGGUCAAGACAUGGAGGCAGUAAGAAAUGUGUUGGGUUAUUCCUAAGGGAAUAAAGCAUGUUGUAAAACAGUGUACUCUCAAUUUUGUUGAAAGAAUACAGGUAAGUAUAUAUUCAUUGAAAAGAGAUGGCACAGAAAGCAUGUUAAUGCUUAAGACUUCCAGAGUUGCUUUUCAUCUUUGUACUGUUUUGAUUUUUCCAACUUUUCUACAGUUGACUUAGAUAAAAAUACAAUAAAUGUCAUAUUAAAAUAAACAUGUCUCCUACAUGUGUGAGGAUACUUUCUUUACUGAAACAAUAGAUUAGAGAGGAGAUGGGAGGGAGCAUUUUCUAGAAAGGUAAGGUGGAGUUGAUUAUAGAGAGCCUUGAAAGUCAGGGAGAACUGUUUAGAUUUGAUGGUCACCACAGUGGCAAUGAUAACGAACUUAUUUGCUGAACCAAAAUCUGAACUGAUGAUCUGACAAAUAAAAACAUUUAUGGAGUCAAAGGACAGAAUGCAGUAUUUGAAAUUGGAAAACUGGAAAAUCAGUGUUACAAUAGGGAGCCUUGUGAGGGUCUUAAGGGAAUGACAUUCAUUUGUUUGUUCAUUCAUUCAGUUGAGUGCCAUUUAUUAAACCCCAACUGUGUGUCGGAUGCUAUGCCAUGUACCUGAAGCAAUCAGACUUUUGGGGGUUGAAUGCGGGGCACACUAAGAGAUGAAGAUCAAAUGGCUAAUUAGUAGGUCCCUGCCUUAAUCCAGGUGAGAGGUUCUGAGUUUCAAGAAUGGAAGUGAUGAGAAUGGAAAUUCAAGUAAUAUUUAAAGAUGGUCUUUGCUUGCUUCACAGUUGUGCUGAGGGUCUUUUCAGCACCCUGAACAGGGUGGAGUGCACAAUAGGCACUCAACAAACCUUAGGCAGGUAUUGGGAAUCUUACUGAGGGGACAGAAGGGGCUGGAACUGAACCACAAAUGAUGAAAAGUUGUUUACUUAACAUUUCAUUGGAAUAGACAUUUCUUGAUUGCACACCAUAUGCCAGACAUUUUCUCAUUGCUGAAGCUACAAAGAUGACAGUCAGUCAUCCUCAAGGAAUUCGUAAGACCACUGUUUGGGGAGACACAACUGGAAACAAUGAAAGUAUUUAUAAUGAACUGAUAGAAGAGGAACUAAGGUGAACCUAGAUAAAGGUGUAAUUAGUCCCGCCUGUAGUGGUCAAGGAAGGCAUCAAAGCGGAGAUGACAUUUGAAUUGGACAUAUGAGGAGUUCUUUAGGAUGGCCCAGGGGUGGGAAUGGUGAUGGAAGGAGUUCCCAGCAGAUGGAAAAACGUUAAUGGAAAAACACAGAGUGGUGAGGGAAUGGCAAGGUCCUUCUCAGUUACUUUGUGAAUGCAUCUACUUCUAUUUAUUCCUUAAAGGUUGCUUAGACAUCUGUUGGGCUCUCACCUAAUCAGUCUUCCCCCUUCUGAAAACUGCUCCACCCCCCUCUACAUGGUUACAGCAAGAAGAGUAAUAAGGGCAUAUGUGUCUGCUCUUUGGGCCAGAGUCAGUUGGUCCAGGGGCCCAAACUGGGCCAAUCAGAGACCUUCCUGGGAUUUUGGAAUUGGGACUAGAGAUCCCAGUGCCAGUGAGUAUAAAUGUGUGGGCUGUGGUUCUUAUAUCCUAUUUUAAGUAAAAAUCACCAGUUUGCUGCGAGGAAGAAAUGAGGUAGAUAGGCCAAGAGAGGCGAAGAUGAGACGUUGGGAAAGGGGUUCUCUGCAUUUCCUCCAGGGGCCCAGUCCCUGGCUCCAGCUCAUUUAUGAAGCCCUAUUGUGAGGUCCAUGUAGGAUGCCUGUAACAUUUCUAUAUCUUUAUAUAAAAUCUCCCCUUUUUGUUUGUUAGUCUGAGUAUAUUUCUGCCAUUUGCAACCAAAGAGUCUUAACUAAUGGUUAAAUUGGUUCCAGUGGGAUUACAAGCAGUUCAUAGACAAAGAAAAUGUGAGAUUAACCAAGUAAAAGUGAGGUGAGGCCCAAAAAGCGUCCCCACAUCUGUAGUUGUGGUAGCAAAGAAAGUGGUUAAACUAUGGCCCCUUUUUCUUCAGUCUCAGACCAUGUACCCACCAAGACUUAGGGAACUGAACAGUAAAAUAGCACAAUAUCAGAGUGUGUUUCUAAUUCUUGUAAGGUGCCAAAAAGGGGACAUUUGCUUUAGUCCAGGGUAGAAACAAAUAGAGAAUAACAGUCCAUGAUGUAAUGGGACCCUUUCUGCUGAAAGUCACUAACCUGGGGUAGCUGAAGGAUCAGAAAUCUCUGUUCCAUACUCAAAGAAUCAAAAUUCUUUAUCACAGCCCAUUUCUGAAUCUGAGUUUAGUGUAUGGAUUAUGAAUCCUGGCUAUUGGAAUGGGGACAUCAGGGAAGAGUCCAAGGUAUUAGGGAAGACAGAUGCUCUGGACCCAUCCAAAAUACUGCUUGUUUUAUAGCCACCUUGCCUCCUGUCAUCAGGAAAACAUGCUGAUGCAUCUUGAGAUAAAGCUUGGUUAACAAGAAUACAGUUCCGACAUAAGGUCAAUAUCCCCGCCGCCACCUCCAUCCCAAAAAGCCUGACAGUUCUUUCCAGAACUCUAGUUCUAGCCUAUUGCUCUAGGCUUUCCUAGAGCACUGUCCUCUCUGGAUCAUGGAGUUGAUCUCACUUUUGUGCCAAGUUACUUGACUGUCUCCCUCACACUCUGAACUUCAUCAUUCUAGAGGUGUAUCUCCAGUGAGAAGUGCAGUGCCUGGCACAAAGCAGGAUUUGGUAUUUGUCAAAAUGAAUGAAUGAAUCGCAGAUUAGAGGGGAGAGAGCUUGGAGUCAAGACCUGCGAGAAGGCGGAUACGGUAAUCUCAAUGAGAGAUGAUUGGAGCCUUUAGUGGGGCUGUGACCAAAGAAACGGAUGGGAGAGCACAUUCCUCCUGAUUAGGUGGCCCUUGGGGCUGUGUGGGGACGUUUUCCUUUAUGAACAGAAGAUGCUUUGAAAGUCAUUUAAUAAGAAUAGGCCACACUUGACUCCUGCUGUGCCCAACUGGGUGGUCUGCAGUAGUGCUUUUCUCGGGGACUCACUCUCCACAGCUCCUUGCAGGGCACUCAGAACCCGUCUCUCAUACCCUCUUUGCCCUCUGAGGUAGCCAUUAUGUGACCUCACCUGCAGUGUCCCACCUCUGUGCACAGCUUCCUCUGGAAAUGCCCUCACUUGCUCAGGUGCCACUGCUUUUCCUUCAGAGCCCAGUUAGAACCACCUCUACCCCCUCCACCCCCAUAUUCCUGACACAUUUUGUCCCUUAUGUACAGCCUUUCCCUUGGCCAUCCUUGUAUCAGUAACAACAGUGCCAUUUCCUGUUCAGGAGUCUGCAGCUCACAGCAUGCUGUCACAGCUGCUUAGAAAAGGAUCAUCAGAGCGCCUUUUGCAGUGCAGAGAGUUGAAGUGGGCAAAGCUGGGACCAGAACCCAGGACUCAUGAAGCCAAAUUCUUUGAACUUGACACUUUCCCUCAAUGCCUCACUGAAGGAGUAUCCAUGGAACACGGUUCCCAUCUUCUGGCAUCAUGACACGAGGUGCAGGGCCAGAGGUUGUCUCACCGUGUGAACACAUCCUAUGAGGCCCGACUAUGGAAUAUGGAGGUAAUGUAAGAAAAAUGAGGUUUGAAAUGAUGGAGCCAGAAGCAAGUCUUGGGAACGUUCUUCAAAUAAUCAAAUGCAUAAAAUCAGAAGGUUUCUUAUCAUUUCCUAGUCAAAAUUGAAAUUCUCUCCUAUAACAAACACCAUACUUUUUUUUAAAAGUGGGAUCAUAUAAAAUAGAAUGUCAUAUUUUUUUUUUGUUUAGCUUUGUUGCUGAUUUGAACAAGAAAACUUGAAAUGCCUGAUAUCUGACAGCUCAUAUACAAAAGAGGUUUCUCCAAGUUUAGCAACAAUCCUAACAUUUACAUGGCCAAUAAUAAUUUGUGAAGGUGAGCAUUUUCUAAACUACCAAUAAUAAAACACAAAUUUGGAUCAACCAUGCUAGAGGAAAGACUAAACGUGGCUUUCUAUUUUCUCCAUUAGAAAAAAAUUACAAAAUUGUCAUAAGAAGAGGCAAUUAAAGAGUAUGCAGACAAAACACAUAAGAGAAAAGAAUAUUAGAGGUGGGCUGGGCUGCUAGUAAAAAUGCUAUGCUAUUUUAACGGAUUUUGUGGUAUUUGUGGUAUUUCUCAGCUUAUAAUUUGUAAUUUGCUAUGUUUUCUUUUCUCAUUCUAAUUAAAUGUUCAUGUUUGUAC
Choloepus didactylus (southern two-toed sloth) is the source of this 14494-nucleotide long non-coding RNA. RefSeq lists it as uncharacterized. The transcript has 2 exons. NCBI's taxonomy places the organism in Eukaryota, Metazoa, Chordata, Mammalia, Pilosa, Megalonychidae. The record is from RefSeq and is a predicted model, not a curated record.